This 432-nucleotide unclassified non-coding RNA is filed under the name soil metagenome. RNAcentral's name for it is "partial contains 5.8S ribosomal RNA, internal transcribed spacer 2, and large subunit ribosomal RNA". The stretch from base 1 to 120 matches the Rfam family "5.8S ribosomal RNA", at positions 35 to 154 of the family's 154-position model. The record is from RNAcentral.
GAUGAAGAACGUAGCGAAAUGCGAUACGUAAUGUGAAUUGCAGAAUUCAGUGAAUCAUCGAAUCUUUGAACGCAUAUUGCGCUCUCUGGUAUUCCGGAGAGCAUGCUUGUUUGAGUAUCAGUAAACACAUCAACUUCCAUAUCUUUUUUGAAAUGGGAGUUGGACUUGAGUGAUCCCAACGCUUUUCCUCACCGAAAAGUGGCGGGUUACUUGAAAUGCAGGUGCAGCUGGACUUUUCUCUGAGCUAUAAGCAUAUCUAUUUAGUCUGCCUAAAAAACAGAUUAUUACCUUUGCUGCAGCUAACAUAAAGGAGAUUAGUUCUUGUGCUGACUGAUGCAGGAUUCACAAAGACGGCUUCGGCCGACUUUGUAAACUCGAUCUCAAAUCAAGUAAGACUACCCGCUGAACUUAAGCAUAUCAAUAAGCGGAGGA